Long non-coding RNA from Vidua macroura (Pin-tailed whydah), 301 nucleotides. RefSeq lists it as uncharacterized. The record is from RefSeq and is a predicted model, not a curated record. The transcript is spliced from 2 exons. Lineage: Eukaryota; Metazoa; Chordata; Aves; Passeriformes; Viduidae.
GCCCCGCUGCGCUCUGGCGGCGCUGCCCCGGCCGGCCUCCGGGACUAGACCCUGAUUUAUGCGUGUUGGCAGCUGGAGCUCAGCUUGUCCAGGCCCUGCUCACAGCUGACCUGGGAACCAGCGCCAGGCAAAGCUCCAGACUGUGAUCCCUGGGAGGAAAACAACACCAGAAACUCACUUCCUCCCCAUGCGUGGAACUGGAGUGUGACCACAGAGCGAGAGAAUGCUUGGAAUUUUGGCUGCUGUUAGAAGAGGAAUGAAGUAAACCAAAUAUUUUUGUAAUAAAAAUUUAAUAUCCUUU